This 465-nucleotide ribosomal RNA is filed under the name uncultured bacterium. RNAcentral describes it as "partial 16S ribosomal RNA". It matches the Rfam family "Bacterial small subunit ribosomal RNA", at positions 338 to 795 of the family's 1533-position model. The record is from RNAcentral.
CCUACGGGUGGCAGCAGUAGGGAAUCUUCCACAAUGGGCGAAAGCCUGAUGGAGCAACGCCGCGUGGGUGAAGAAGGUCUUCGGAUCGUAAAACCCUGUUGUCAGAGAAGAAAGUGCGUGAGAGUAACUGUUCACGUAUCGACGGUAUCUAACCAGAAAGCCACGGCUAACUACGUGCCAGCAGCCGCGGUAAUACGUAGGUGGCAAGCGUUAUCCGGAUUUAUUGGGCGUAAAGGGAACGCAGGCGGUCUUUUAAGUCUGAUGUGAAAGCCUUGGGCUUAACCGGAGAAGUGCAUUGGAAACUGGCAGGCUUGAGUGCAGUAGAGGGGGGUGGAACUCCAUGUGUAGCGGUGAAAUGCGUAGAUAUCUGGAAGAAUACCAGUGGCGAAGGCGGCUCUCUGGACUGUGACUGACGCUGAGGUUCGAAAGCGUGGGUAGCAAACAGGAUUAGAUACCCUUGUAGUC